UCGGGGCGCCGCAUCGCCCGCCCCGCCCGGACAAAUCCGAAGGCGGCGUGAGUUUUGAACUGAAAUCCGAAUACGAGCCGAAGGGCGACCAGCCCACCGCGAUCAAGGAACUGGUCGAAGGCAUCCAACGCAACGACCGUACGCAGGUGCUGCUCGGUGUCACCGGCUCCGGCAAGACAUACACCAUGGCGAAGGUGAUCGAGGCGACGCAGCGU
This 215-nucleotide unclassified non-coding RNA is filed under the name Hevea brasiliensis (rubber tree). The record is from RNAcentral. Lineage: Eukaryota; Viridiplantae; Streptophyta; Magnoliopsida; Malpighiales; Euphorbiaceae.